CUUGCUUCUUUGCUGGCGACCGGCGCACGGGUGAGUAACACGUAUCCAACCUGCCCUUUACUCGGGGAUAGCCUUUCGAAAGAAAGAUUAAUACCCGAUAGUAUAAUGAUUCCGCAUGGUUUCAUUAUUAAAGGAUUCCGGUAAAGGAUGGGGAUGCGUUCCAUUAGGUUGUUGGUGAGGUAACGGCUCACCAAGCCUUCGAUGGAUAGGGGUUCUGAGAGGAAGGUCCCCCACAUUGGAACUGAGACACGGUCCAAACUCCUACGGGAGGCAGCAUG
RNAcentral lists this ribosomal RNA (278 nucleotides) under uncultured bacterium. RNAcentral's name for it is "partial 16S ribosomal RNA". It matches the Rfam family "Bacterial small subunit ribosomal RNA", at positions 73 to 353 of the family's 1533-position model. The record is from RNAcentral.